Molecule: ribosomal RNA, 294 nt
Filed under: uncultured bacterium
Lineage: Bacteria
Description: partial 16S ribosomal RNA
Rfam family: Bacterial small subunit ribosomal RNA
Source: RNAcentral
GAUGAACGCUGGCGGCGUGCUUAACACAUGCAAGUCGAACGGAGGGGUGAUUUCGGUUGCUCUUCAGUGGCGCACGGGUGAGUAACACGUAGCUGACCUGCCCUCAAGAGUGGGAUAACGGGUCGAAAGACCUGCUAAUACCGCAUAAGCUCACGCGCAUUAGAGGCGCGCGAGAAAAGGCGCAAGCCGUUUGAGGAGGGGGCUGCGGACCAUCAGCAGUUGGUGGGGUAACGGCCUACCAAGGCGACGACGGGUAGGGGGCCUGAGAGGGUGGUCCCCCACACUGGGACGUGA